UGAAAAUCUUUAAAAUAUUGCAUGAUGAGUUCCUGUAUGAUGAGAGUUUAAAUUCCUACCACAGCCAUACAUACAUACAUAUUAGACUAAGAACCAUACAUUUACUUUUUACUGCUUAUGAGCAUUGAGUGUGGUCAAGCUGUGUAGACCCUUAGGAGCUUGUCAUGCGGUUAAAAUCAAGAUUCACUUGCAAGUGCACUCAUGCAUGCUACUUCUACUCCGCAAGUACGCAUCCACAUACAUCCACUAAAUUCCAUCUCCAGAUUCACCUAAAAUUAUUCUACUCCUAUCCGGGAGAGAAUAGCCAAAAACUUUUUCCUAUCCCUAUUAUUCCCUGUGAAAUAAAUGCUCGAGAUAUUUUGGUUACUACCACUUGCUACAUUAUUCUAGGAGGGUGAGUGCUCUGAAAAAAAGGGAAAAAUACGAGGAAAUAAAAAGGGGCAAGUGCCCGGAACCUCGAAGAAAAGAAAAAGUGAGACGAGAGGUAAAAAUGAACAAGUGUCCGACAGUAGAAUUAGAGGUACAAGAUACCCACCUAAGAGAAAAGAAAAAAAUUAUAGAGCAUCUCAUUCUCCUAAAAAAAUCUUCAAAGUGCAAGAAAGGUAUGUAUCUCCUAAAAAGAGCAAAAGUAGAAUUAGACUUUCACCAUUGUUAUCACAGUCAUCACCAUACACCAUUCACUUGCCACACAUGCACAUCUUGAUUUGACUUAUUGACUUGUUCUUCUGGAUCCAUGGUUUGACUAUGCAAUAAAUACCUUGUAAGUAUGUAUUAUCUGUCUCCCACCUAUGAGCUCCAGAUAUCAAAACCUUAUUAGAGUAGGGUGAGAGAGAAGGCAAUAUCACUAUGCCCCAUACCAAAAAUACCACAUACUUUGAGAGAAGGCAUAUACCAUUACUGCCUUGGAAAUGAUCCAGAAAUACCACAAAAGAGAGAUCUGAGAGAGUCAUACAAGGAAUCUCUGAGUUUUAUUUGAAAAUCUACAAAAACUCCAGAGCUAUAGCUGAUCAGAGAACAAGAGACAUGGAACUUGACUAGAUUGUUCUAUCUUUUAACUGCUCAAGACACAAGUGACGGUUGCAAGCCCCAUGAUGAAAGGUAAAAUGAGUAAGUUCUAAGUCUUAAGAGUUUACUCUAACUCAGAGAUGAGAUCUUGCUUGAAUGCAUGUGUACUUUUAAGGUAUGAAACCACUGCAGAAACUCUUGAGUCCAUCCUUGGUCAGGGACGAGCAAGAGGUAAGCUUGGGGAAGUUGUUGACGGUCCUUAUGUACCAAAUAUAAUCAUCAAAUAAAUAAAGAAAAGGAUCCAAAUGCAACCAACACCCAGACUUAGGGUUUUAUCUGACAGAAUUCCACGAGUUUUGGUGUUUGUCUAUUUCUGCAGGGGGUUAUCAGGAAAUAUGGAGGAAAGGCCCACAUGUCGGGUUUACAAAGAGAUAUUAACGUGCCGUGCAAUUUUCUAUAAUCUAGAAUACUCCAGAAGCCACGGGAACGAACGGGAGGCCGAGUGGGCCCAGGGUGUCUCAGCCAAUUAGGCUCCACCUCGCGGAUUAUGCUCCACCGACCUAAAGGAUUAAGGAAAACCGUUCGAUUAAGGUCGGUUUGAUCCGACGGGCCACGUUCAUUUGGAGGGGCUAUAUAAGCAGGCCCCCUGGCCCCUGGAGGAGUGCAAUCCCAUUAUUCAUUAGCAUAUUUUCCAGAGAGGAUUCAGAGAGAGAGAGAGGUCCCCCUAGGGUUCCAACCUCAUAGGGCUUAGCAUCCAAUGUGAGAUUAGAAUUAGUUCUUCUAGAUUGAGAGAGAUAGAGUGGAGGUGUAGAUCGGAGGAAGUCCGGCCUGUCGGUGUCUACUCUGAGGUUGUACCUGUGGGAUCAAGUCUCCUAACCCGAGGCUUGCUCCUAGGAUUCUUCAGUAUUUUAACUUCUAAAUUCUAGUAAGUUCAUUGUUCUUAUUGUUCUUUGGUUUAUGAGUUUACUUUAAUCUCUUCUGGUAGAGUUUAGAGUAAUCAUUGCUAGCGUAAACGUGGUGUUUGGGCUAGGGUACUCAAAGAUAUCCUCUGUCUAGCCGGAUCGUGGUAGUAACGAGGAACGUGACAUUUCUGUAGCUAACUUUGUAGCCCACAUCCCGUUAGCAGGAUCGGUAGGGUUUAUAGGUGCGGGUCAAACAUCCUUUGUGGUGUCUAGAUUCCGUAAGCCUCUCCAAUAGAAUAGUAGAUCAUCCUUACCAAGGUUAGAACGAGAGUGCGGUUGUAGUCUUCUCUAUACAUCGCUCACAUCGAAUCACAUUGUUUGUAGCCAAAAGGGUAGUAGCAAUAGAUUUGGUUAGUCAGAUGCACGCUUUCUCCCAGUGAUAAAAAUAUAAAUACGAUACUCUGGAUAACCUCCCGGGUGAAGUGCUCACCGAUAUCCGUGCGCUUGCGGAUCAUUUCCUGAUGGCGUUAACAAAUAUCAACAGUGGACAAGGUAGUCAAUAUGCAACAAGGUUGUCAUAUCAACGCCUAACACUUAAUGCAACAAUACAUAGCCAUAGUUAAUUGACAGCUGGACAUGAUAACAAAAUAGUGAGAGUCUUAUAAUGCUCUGGGGCUUGCCUUCGAUGUAGGUGGAAGGACGGUGGUCAGGACAAUCUAGUAGAUCCUCCUCCUCGUCAGCUCCUUCUCCUUGAGGUGGCUCCCUCUGCUGCUCCUCCGGCUCGGGUGGUGCGAAUUCCAGAACCGUCACGCCCUUGGGUACACCUAUGUAUGCAUGACAAGGCGAUAAACAUAGGGAAUGCACAUAUGAUGCAAUAUGUCAUGACGAGGAGCCAAAGGAACAUAAAACAAGGUGCAAACAUGAUCACAAGCUUCUAAGAUUAAGUGAGUCAUGAAAUAACAGUAAGUGCAUACUUCUUCUCUGGUAGAGAGGCUAACUAGACAAGCUAAUAAACCUUAGCUACUCCUACUCAACAGCUGGUGUCGUGGACAAAGUGAGUAGUCACACGUUUUUGCUAUAACAUAGUCAUCAUUUGGCCAAAUUAAGCAAGUAAGAACUUUCUGGAAAGCUUAACAAAUUAUCUACAAAACACUUUUAGACAUCACAGAAGGAUUCCCAACCGAAAUAGGCUAAAACAGACAAAGUAUCAGACCUGCUCUGGAAAAUCCAGAGAACAAGCACUUCGCAGUAGCUACUUGUAACAGUCACAACUUUUAAACUACUCAGCCAAAAGCUAUGAAAUUUGGAUACAAGGUGGACAAGUAAGUUAGCUACAAGUUUGUUACAGACAAGUUUUCCAGCAAACUUCAUCUUCAAGCAGUUCUUAAGCAAUUGCUAUCAGCUACCCAGAAUGUGCUCUAGACAAGGCAUAAAUAGCAAAAUAAUAUUUUAGCACAUAUCAAGAAUGCAACAUUGGUUCAGACCAAAAGUACCAGUAGCUAGAAUAUGUCUAAGAAACACCAUAAAACAUCAUGGCAAGGUUAAAACUCAUUUUUAUUAUCCUCUUUUCUAAUUAAUCGCUUAUUAAGGUGAAUUAAUGAGCAUGUAGUACAAGUGCUCCAAAAAUUCUAAGAAAAUUACAGCAAGCUACCUAAGCUACCACAAGGUUACUGUAAAAUUUUCAUGGCUCUUGCACAUGCAGAUUGUGAGGUACAAAAAUGACAAACUACUCAUGGCAUUAGAGGCAUAAAUGUGAAACCAUAUCAAAAAGUGUCAAACAACAAAUUUCAGAUUUUUCUUAGCUUUAACUUCACAUGCUUACAUCACCCAGCAAGUUCCAUCAUACAAGGAGUCAUACUCUAUUUAUUAAAAAUACCAUAAGAAACUCCUAUUUAAACAAUAGCUAUUUAUAAUUUCACCACAAUGCAUCCGAAAAUCAUGAGAAAUUUACCAGAGCCUACAAAUAGCAUAAAUAACCAUCUCCUAAAUUUGUAUGGUUAUAGUACUUACAGAUCUCAAGAUAUAAUUACCUUCUUUUUAUCAAAGAUUAAAUCAUAUCUAUUUAUUUCUGCAAAAAACAUGGCCUGUUUAAUAUUUUUAUUAAAAACUAGACUAACUCGAGUGUGAAAAAAUUGGAAUUACUCCAUUUGGAUCUGUCUAACUCAAGUUAUGAUUUUCUAAAACAGCAUUGAAUCUACCAAAAACAGAAAUAGGGGGAGAGAGGGACAGUAGCUGACAGAGGGGUCCCACUCGUCGGCGACACACAAAGCAGAGACGAGCUCGGCUGCCGGAGAUCUCAUCGACGGCGAGGUCUCCAGGGAAACCGAGGGCAUCUACUUGUUCCUCACAUCAAGGCGAACCUGUUGACCUACUUGGCUCACGCUCUACUGGACUCUAGGGUGCUCGCCGUCGAGAAUGGCAGAGCGGCGGCGCUGCGCGGCGGUACGCCAGCGUAUAGUAGAGGUUGCAGACGAGUAAGAGUGAAGCAGGGGAAGCAUUAGGAAGAAGAAUCACGACAAGAGGUGAACCAGAGACGUCUGGCCACGUUGUUGGUGAUCUCUGUGAACUCCGGCGAGGUGGAGUUCGCGACGGAGUUGGCAAUGUGACCUCACCGGUGCUCGGCUAGGGAAAAGAGAUGGAUGUCGAGGUAGAGGACAUCGCGGUGGAGCUCUGGGCGAAACAGCUCAGCUCGGGACACGGUGGUGGGGCAGGGAGAGCUUAGCGAAGCACGGCGAAGCUCGUCGAGGAUGAUGGCGGGCGAAAUGUGGAGCGCAGGAGGGAUGAAUGGCGCAUCUGAGGCGUCCAGGCGGUGCGUGGCGCUCAAGUGGACAUGCUAGGACUGACUGGCGGGGUCGCCUCGACGUACGGUCGACACCUGGCCGGACACGCGGCGGCGGAUGGUGGCUGUCCAAACUAAAUCGGCCGAUUCGGUCGCCGUCGACAGUGAUUGAAUCCCGAUCUUCGUCGACGUUUUACUCGUGAUUCACUCUGUGGUUUUUGCUCGGAUUUGUCCCAAUGGAUAGAGCUACACGAUUUCUACAAGUUUGCUUAAAGGAUCAAGGUCUGGUUUGGCCUAGAAUUCGAACUACAAAGCUCCCAAGUACCCUACCUCGAAUCUGCAAAACCCAGACUUAGCCAAAUCGCCUAAGUGUUGAAAACAGCACUGAUUUGUGUCUUGUGGGCCACGUUUGGUCAGGUUCCAUCCAUUUUCAUGAAAAGGCACCAAAACAACUUUUGUAGCUUAUACAAUUUACUACAACGUUGCUUUAGAUGUCAUUUACAUGCAAGGUCUCUAACACAGGUUUCAUGAAAGAUCUUUAAAAAGAGGUUUAGGGGGUCAACUAGGUCAACCUAGGGUUAACCAUGACUUAGGGGCAUUUUUGGAGGAAACCUCAAACACAAACUUUGUUCCAAAUGAUAUUCUAAACAUGAAUAGAGUAUUUUGGAUGACAAUGUGUACUUGUAUACAUUGGUCAUACAUUACUUACACUUAUAACAAGCCAUAUAAGCAUUUCAAUCAUAUAGUGUACACCAAAAUGACAUGUGAUCAUGGUAAGAUGCUCAAGAGUGUGUAUGAUGAUGCUCAUGUUGAUGCAAUGCUAAUGGUUAACAUGCAAGCUAACACUAGGAGUGUUACAGCCCUCCCCCCUUACAAAAAUCUCGUCCCGAGAUUUGAAAGACAUACCAUUUUUCAUAGAAGGAGGGGUAAGCCACUUGUAAAUAAUCUUCCCUCUCCCAAGUGGCAUCGCGUUCACUUUGAUGGUUCCACAACACCCUAUAAAGUUUUAUCACUCUCCCUCGAGUAACUCUUUCCUUGACAUCAAGAAUUUGUACAGGCUUUUCUUCAUAGGAUAGAUCUGAUUCUAAUUUAAGACCUCCUGUUUCUACUCUUUCUUCGAGCACGCGAAGGCAUUUCUUACGACACAUGGAAUACAGGGAAAAUAGUCUCAUCUCAGGAGGCAGUUGUACCCUAUAAGCCACUUUGCCACUUUUCUCAAUGAUUUGGUAGGGACCCACAUACCUAGGGGCAAGCUUCCUCUUCACACCGAAGCGGUUCACUCCAUGGGAGAUACUUUUAGGUACACAAAGUCACCUACUUCAAACUCAAGUGGUCUUCUUCUUCGGUCAGCGUAGCUUUUCUGUCUUGCUUGGGCGGCUUCCAUGUGUUUUUGGAUAAUGAGAACCUGCUUUUCAGCUUCCUUGAUGAAGUCAAUUCCAUAGUAUCUCCUUGCACCAGGUUCGACCUAGUUUAGAGGAGUUCUACAUUUGCGGCCACACAAAGCUUCGAAAGGGGCCAUUUGAAUACUCACUUGAUAGCUAUUAUUGUAAGAGAAUUCAGCUAAGGGUAGCCAUUUCUCCCAUAAUCCCUUGGAAGAGAUGACACAUGCCCUCAACAUAUCCUCUAAGAUUUGAUUCACACGCUCAGUCUGACCAGAGGUUUGAGGAUGGUAGGCUGAACUACGAACCAACUUUGUACCAAGGAGUGAAUGUAAAUGUUCCCAAAAGCGAGCAGUGAACUGAGCACCUCUAUCAGAAAUAAUAGUGCGAGGCACUCCGUGCAAUUUAACGAUCUGGGAGAAGUACAACUCAGCAUACUCGGAUGGUCGGUAUGUAGAGUGUACCGGAAUGAAAUGAGCUGACUUGGUCAAGCGAUCAACAAUCACCCAUAUGGAAUUGUAACCUUUUUGAGUAGGGGGAAGCCCAACAAUGAAAUCCAUGUUGAUUUCUUCCCACUUCCAACCCGGAACCGACAAAGGUUGCAAUAGUCCUGCAGGCUUAAGGUGAAUUGCCUUUACCCUGAAGCAGGUAUCACACCUAGCAACAUAAGCUGCUAUUUCUUUCUUCGUUUUGGUCCACUAGAAACGAGGCUUCAAGUCUUGAUACAUUUUGCUACUACCAGGAUGGAUAGACAACUUAGAGGAGUGAGCUUCAUCUAAGAUUUUAUUGCGUAGGUCACGGUCUUUGAGUACUACAUGUCGAUCAUCAAACCAUAGUACACCCUUCUCAUCUACCCUGAAAUGAUUGGUGUCUUGUUCUUUCAUUUUUCUCUUGAUAUGGAAGAUACCAGGGUCGGUGUUUUGCAGUUCUAUGAUUUGACUUUCUAAGGAACAACUGACUACAAUAUUGUGCAAGACCACGAGGUGUAGUAAAUUGAAACCUUUCUCGAGGAGGGGCUCAACAUGUUGCUUUCGGCUAAGGGCAUCUGCUACAACAUUGGCCUUGCCUAGAUGAUAGUGCACUUCAAGAUUAUAGUCCUUAAUCAACUCUAAGCAUCUUCUUUGUCUCAUGUUUAGCUCGGGCUGAGUGAAGAUAUAUUUGAGGCUCUUAUGGUCAGUAUAAAUGUGACACAAAUUACCCAACAGAUAGUGCUUCCAGAGUUUCAACGCAUGCACAUCUGCUGCUAACUCUAGAUCAUGAGUAGGAUCAGUUGACUUCAUGCUUCCUCAGCUGCCAAGAGGCAUAGGCAAUGACUCGGCCUUCUUGCAUAAGUACACAACCUAACCUAGUGCCGAUGCAUCACAAAAGACAUCAAAUGGAUAUUCAAUGUCAGGCUGUGCCAAAACAGGAGCAGUGGUCACAAAUGGUGUAAAGCAUUAAAAGCGACUUCACACUCCUGAGACCACACAAAAUUUCACAUCUUUUUGCAGCAGCUAGGUCAUAGGUUUGGCUAUCUUGGAAAAGUCCGGAAUAAAGCGACGAUAAUAUCCCGCUAAACCGAGAAAACUUUGAACCUCAUGCACCGAAGUCGGGGCCUUCCAGUCUAGAACCUCCUGCACCUUUGACGGGUCAACAGAUAUGCCGUCUUCGGAUAAAAUAUGGCCUAGAAAAGGCACUUUCUUCACCCAAAACUCACACUUGCUGAACUUGGUGUAAAGCUGAUGUUCUCACAAUCUAGUGAGUACAAUCCGAAGGUGCUUCUCAUGGUCUUGGGCAUUUUCAGAAUACACCAAUAUGUCAUCGAUGAACACCACUACAAACUUAUCUAGUUUAGGCAUGAACCUUCAUUAGGUACAUGAAAUGAGCAGGGGCAUUAGUCAGGCCAAAGGACAUGACUAGAUACUCAUACAACCCGUACUGGUAGAGAAAGCCGUUUUAGGAACGUCUUCAGGCCAAAUUUUGAUUUGAUGAUAUCUAGAUCUCAGAUCAAUCUUCGAGAAUACCUUAGCCUUGGCUAAUUGAUCAAACAGAAUAUCAAUGUGAGGCAGGGGAUACUUGUUUUUGAUAGUCACGGCAUUUAGCGGAUAGUAGUCUACACACAUACGGAGAGACUUGUCUUUCUUCUUGACAAAAAGAGCUGGACAACCCCAGGGGAAAGAACUAGGCCGAAUAAGACUUUUCUCUAGGAGUUCUUGCAAUUGCUUCUUCAAUUCUGCCAGUUCAUUGGGUGGCAUUUGAUAUGGCCUUCUAGAGAUAGGUGCGGUACCCGGAAUUAGAUAAUUUUAAGCUCUAUGUCUCUGUCCGGAGGCAACCCGAGCAAAUCCUUUGGAAAGACAUCCGAGAACUCACAAACUACAGGAAUCUCUGCCACAGUAAGUGGUCUGAUAGCAUUUGUAGCUUGACGAAUGUCGUCAUUUUUAGGAAGUUGGACUAAGAAAGCUUCUUUACUAUCAGGCUCCCUAAACAUGACUACCCUUGUUGAGGUAUCUAUUAACACCCUAUGAAUACUCAUCCAAUUCAUUCCUAGAAUAACAUCUAUCCCCAAGCCUGGCAAAACUACCAGAUUUGCUGAAUAAUUACGCCCUUCAAUGGCAAUGUGCACAUCCCUCACUAAUUGAUUUGUAGAGAUUUGAUUACCAGUAGCACUAAUGCAAAAUUUGCCCUUGUCAAGAUCAACUACAUGAUGUCCAUGCUUAGAUGCGAAUGCUUGACUCAUAAAAGAAUACGAUGCUCUAGAAUCAAACAAAACAACUACGGGAUGUUGGUUGACAAGAAACAUACCAGCAGUAACCACUUCACCUGUGGGGAUUUCUUCAAUGGUAGUAUAGUGCACUCAGCCAGUACGAGUAUUAACCCCAGCUGCAGAAGUGUUCUUAGGAUAAGGGCAAUCCCUUGCCUAAUGACCAACCUAUUUGCAGUUGAAGCAGGGACGGUUAUCACGGGAUGUUUUGGAGCUCCCUUGACCGGUGGCAGCUCUAGGAAGAGCAACUGUGAAGGACUUGUGAACUCCCGUCUUCACAUUUGACUUCUAUUGCGGCGGCCUGUACAUUGUCACAACAUUGGGUGGGCGAUAGGCCGGCUUACUUGUCACCGGAGCCUUGGACUGCGAAGCACCUGCUUCAUAGGCCCUCUUGCGGUUCUUGGAUGCAGCAUAUAUAGCAUUAGAGUUCUCCUGAGUCAAGGCAUCACACAUGAAAUCAUUGAAGGUGGUACUCUUGUUACCAGCCAUAUUCUUGGACAGCUUGGGCCCAAGUUCCCUCUUGAAACUAGCAAGCUUCUUAGCAUCAGUGUCAACAAACUCAGUAGCAUAGCGAGACAAAUUAUUGAAAGCAUGAAGAUACUCAGUCAAACUUUUGGUGCCCUGAGUUAAGUUCAUGAACUCGGUAUGCUUGAUGGUCAUUAAGCCCUAUGGAAUAUAAGUGUCCCAGAAAGCAGUUUUGAACUGGUCCUAGGUUACAACAGCAUUGGCAGGCAAGGAGGCCCUAUGAUGACUCCACCAAACACCUGCUUUGUCCUCCAAUUGCUGUGCUGCAUACUCCAUCUUUAGCUCCUUAGUCACCCUCACCAAGCGGAACUUCUGCUCGAGAGUGUUGAGCCAUUCAUCGGCUUCCACAGGUUCAGAAGCCUCCUUGAAAACCGGUGGCUUGGUGUCCUAAAAAUCCUUGAAAUUGCUAUACUGAUUCGCUUCUCCGCCUUAGAGGGCAUGGCGACCGCCCCGGUUCUGCUGCGCCAUGGUUUGCAUAGCUUCAUUGAGCAUCCGCUGGCCCUCAACAAGAGUUGCCAGGAGCUCAGUAGGCGUAGGCAGGGGAGGAGGUGGUGGUGGCGGCACCUCAUUAUGGCCGAAACGAGUAUUGCGAGCCAUCUACACAAGGCAUACCAAGUGAUCGUUUAGGAUGACAGAAAUAAUUGCCAUGAAUUUCAAUUGAUGCCAUACGGAAUUUACUGAAAUAAAUCCACAUAAUACAAGGCACAAUAAUCCAUUAACAACAAGUAAACAUCACCCACGAUACUGGUUACACUUGCAAUCAUUCACAACCACAUGAAUUCUCAGGGAUUAAAGACAUCACUGGAAAUUUAUUCAAGCUCAACAUAAACAUGGAGCAUCACAUACAGGUGCAUAUGGUUACACAGGGUCAUUGUCACAGCUUAAGUCUUACAAGAAGGGCAUCAUGGCCAAAUACAUAGAGUCUCAACUAGAAAUUUAGAUUACAUAUCAAAAACAUAAAGGGACAUGAGCUGGUACAUAAAUAUGACAAUCACUGCUAAAUUAUAGAUCUUCCUCAGAUUCUUCAUUAGAGACCAUGCCAUCAUCCUAAUCUUCCUCACUAGGAUCCUCUUCAUGAUUAACUGGGACAGGGUGUGGAAUAGGAUUUAUAACAUUGUUUAGGCGAUGAACAUCUAACUGCAGCUCAGCAAUCCUAUGAAUUAGCUCUUGCUCUCAAACCUCAGCUUGGAACAAUGCUCUAACUCUAGCAGCUUCUCUAUUUUCAGCCAAGCGCAUAACAUCAUCUCGCUCUCUAGUCAUUUGCAUCAUGUGGGCUUGUGCCUCAUUGCGCUCUCUAACUGCAUUUUCAACUUGGUUGCGGCGGGCUUGCAAAGCGGUAUGAUAGUUUUGAAUUUCAGCUUGUGCAUCACUAAAGGCUUUACGGUGCUUGCACACGCGCUUGCGCAGUUUGCGCUGCCCAGAUUGAGCUUGCUGAAGCGCUAGCAUGGCUUCUAUGUAGGUAUCUUGGCGUACAUAGUACAUCUUGAGUACCGCCAGCAUGGCACUCAUGGCGGGACUAGAGCUAUACCCUACCAUGGUUUCUCUCAUCUCCAGGGGCUCCGUUCCUAUUUGGGAUACAAAGGUAUCAGUUACACUCACUCUAGGAAAAGAUCCAGCUCGGCUAUUAACUAGCUCAUCACCAAAGUCCUGGCAUAUUUCCAACAACACUUCUAGGGCUGCUACUUGGGCGCCCUCAAAAGGAGUUUGACCAUCGGACUCCACUACCCAUCCUAGCCACUGUGGGUUAUUUGGACAAGGGGAAACUGUGAUUUGGACAUCUACCCAAGGCAAAGAUCCUGCAUGCUCUGCCUCUCCCCAACUAUACUGCGGUGGUUCCUCAUAUCCCACUGAACUUAGCACCCUCCACAACAGAGUAAGAGUGCCAAACAUGUCCAGAAAAGUUUCCCUUGCAUGUGGGGCUGCCAUUUAUAGGGAAAGACCACAAUUGAGUAAGGAAAAAUUACUUAUAAGAGAAGAUAAUUAUGUACAAGUUUCAGAUUUACAAUAAUUUAAGUAGUGCAUAAAGGGAUGCAUGAAUGAUUCAUGGUACAUGCACACUCCGUACGUCCUUACCAUUCCUAGAAAGACAAUUCUAGCGGUAUAGUCGGUGGCAUACAUACGUGCUCUCUUUAUACGGAUCUACACGGUCUACAUGUUUCGUUGUUAGCGUACCAGCAGAAAAUUUCAUUUCAGCCCACCCGACAAUAAUAUAUGUGCGGAAAUGAAAGUCUUGAUCUUCUAAAUUCAAGCUAGGUACUCCGAUAUAGAUCCCCGAACAUAUAUCGCAGCACACUAACCAUGUGAAGUACACCCAUAUAUACAUCAAAUAUAUAUACACGGUUGCACCAACUACCCAUAAUUAAGUACUUUCAUAUAUACAUGUGUGCAACAUGUAAAUAUUCCAGUAACCACAACUAACACUCCCCUAGGCCGACGGUUGGACGGUCAUGCUCUCACGGCUCACACUUACCAUAGCGUAGAGGCAUAUAGAUCCAUGCAUUACCACUUAAGUAAGUGGCAUCUAUACUAUUGCAUGCCGUACGGACGACGAAAAGAAAACCCCCCCUUGGUUAGUAGUACUUAGCCACCUAGAAGUCCUUAAGCGGGCAUAAAGGGUAUGACCACUGGCAUAGUAUAUUUUGUUCAAUCAUUUUAAAACAGCCCUAUGCAUAGUCUAAGUUGCCAAUUACUUUGGGAAAAACAAAUUCAUUUGUUUUUAAAUACAUCUAUGAAGGUUAAAUGCUUAAUCUUGCUCGGAUGCCAGCUGUAACAGGACCAUCCAAUUUAUAAGAAUUCAAGUGAUUUAGCGACCACGAGAGUAGUCAAGCCAAUGGACUUGAACCUAUAUAAACCCGGUAGUCCGACGAAAUCUCAAAAUAUCUCGAUUCAACCAACAUACAACCAAGACCGUACAUGAUCAAGCAUCUCCAUCACAGAUUACAACCAUUCAACACAGAACAUAGUUUUACACACAUCGGAGUUCAAUAAAGUUAUUACAGCAUAUUUCGGUAGCGGAAGCAAUGUAGUUUUGAAACAACACACACUUAGUUUAAUUACAUGCCAGUUCCAUGAUCAUCCCAACAAAAUCAUAACCGAAGAUACAAGAGGUGAUCUUGCCCGAGAUCUACUCAUCAUCCGCAGCCGGAUGCUAAAGUUAGCACAGUAGCCACGAUACACGACAUCAUCUGCAACAAGAGUAAAUAAAACCCUGAGUACGAGAAUGUACUCAGCUAGACUUACCCGUCAUAAACAAGAAAUAAAGUGACACCAAGGAUUACGCAAGGCUCAUAUUUGUGGGCUGGUUUGACUCACAUUUUGCAUAAAAGCUUUAGUUUUUGAGUAACCCAUUUAUAACAUUUUCAGCAGCAAGUUUUUGUUAGGCAUGCGUUCAACAUGACAAGAGGACGUACAACGUAUCGGUCCUUCAACGACAAAGACGGGGAUAGAUUCACACCCACGACCUCCAUGACUUGUUGCUUCACUAUUGUCAUCCCGCCCAGUCUCAUUUCAUUAUUAGCACAUGGUUAUUUCUACGAUAGCAAAUCUAGCCAACCGUGAUCAAGUAUCCACCUAUCUCUCGCAGGUGACAGGAAAUCACCCGGCUUCUACCGAGCUAAGCAUGGCUAAGCAUUAAUUCGAUCAUGGACCUACUGAGGUGAGGUAUAAGGUGGACAAGGUAGUCAAUAUGCAGCAAGGUUGUCAUAUCAACACCUAACACCUAAUGCAACAAUACAUAACCAUAGUUAAUUGACAGCUGGACAUAAUAACAAAAUAGUGAGAGUCUCAUAAUGCGUCGGGGCUUGCCUUUGAUGUAGGUGGAAGGACGGUGGUCAGGACACUCCGAUAGAUCCUCCUCCUCCUCAGCUCCUUCUCCUUGAGGUGGCUCCCUCUGCUGCUCCUCCAGGCCCUUGGGUACACCUAUGUAUGCUUGACAAGGCGAUAAAUAUAGAGAAUGAACAUAUGAUGCAAUAUGUCAUGACGAGGAGCCAAAGGAACAUAAAACAAGGUACCAGUAGCUAGAAUAUGUCUAAGAAACACCAUAAAACGUCAUGGCAAGCUUUAAACUCAUUUUUAUUAUCCCCUUUUCUAAUUAAUUGCUUAUUAAGGUGAAUUAAUGAGCAUGUAGUACAAGUGCUCCAAAAAUUCUGACAACAUUACAGCAAGCUAUCUAAGCUACCACAAGGUUACUGUAAAAUUUUCAUGGCUCUUGCACAUGCAGAUUGUGAGGUACAAAAAUGACAAGCUACUCAUGGCAUUAGAGGCAUAAAUGUGAAACCAUAUCAAAAAGUGUCAAACAACAAAUUUCAGAUUUUUCUUAGCUUUAACUUCACAUGCUUACAUCACCCAGCAAGUUCCAUCAUAAAAGGAGUCAUACUCUAUUUAUUAAAAAUACCAUAAGAAACUCCUAUUUAAACAAUAGCUAUUUAUAACUUCACCAUAAUGCAUCCAAAAAUCAUGAGAAAUUUACCAGAGCCUACACAUAGCAUAAAUAACCACAUCCUAAAUUUGCAUGGUGAUAGUACUUACAGAUCUCAAGAUAUAUUACCUUCUUUUUAUCAAAGAUUAAAUCAUAUCUAUUUAUUUCUGCAAAAAUAUGGCCUGUUUCAUAUUUUUAUUAAAAACUAUACUAACUCAAGAGUGUGACAAAAUUGGAAUUACUCCAUUUGGAUCUGUCUAACUCAAGUUAUGAAUUUUCUAAAACAACAUUGAAUCUGCCAAAAACAGAAAUAGGUGGAGAGAGGGACAGUGGCUGACAGAGAGGUCCCACUCGUCAGCGACACACAGAGCAGAGGCGAGCUCGGCUGCCGGAGAUCUCAUCGACGGCAAGAUCUCCGGGGAAACCGAGGGCAUCUACUUGUUCCUCACAUCAAGGCGAACCUGUUGACCAACUUGGCUCACGCUCUACUGGACUCUAAGGUGCUCGCCGUCGAGAAUGGCGGACCCAGUAGAGGUUGCGGACGAGUAAGAGUGAAGCAAGGGGAAGCAGUAGGAAGAAGAAUCACGGCAAGAGGUGAACUAGAGAGAUCUGGCCACGUUGUCAGUGAUCUCUGUGAAAUCCGGCGAGGUGGAGUUCGCGACGAAGUUGGCAAUGUGACCUCACUGGUGCUCGGCUAGGGAAACUAGAUGGACGUCGAGGUAGAGGACAUCACGGCGGAGCUCUGGGCGAAGCAGCUCGGCUCGGGACGCGGUGGUGCGGCCGGGAGAGCUCGCCGAAGCGCGGCGGAGCUCGCCGAGGACGAUGGUGGGCGAAAUGUGGAGCGCUGGAGGGAUGAAUGGCGCGUCUGAGGCGUCCAGGUGGUGCGUGGCGCUCAAGUGGACGUGCUGGGACUGACUGGCGGGGUCGCCAUCAACGUACGGUCGACACCUAGCCGGACACGCGGCGGCGGAUGGUGGCUAUCCAAACUGAAUCGGCCGAUUCAGUCGCCGUCGACAAUGACUGAAUCCCGAUCUUCGUCGACGUUUUACUCGCGAUUCACUCAGUGGUUUUUACUUGGAUUUGUUCCAAUGGAUAGAGCUACACGAUUUCUACAAGUUUGCUUAAAGGAUCAAGGUCUGGUUUGGCCUAGAAUUCAAACUACAAAGCUCCCAAGUACCCUACCUCGAAUCUGCAAAACCCAGACUUAGCCAAAUCGCCUAAGUGUUGAAAACAGCACUGAUUUGUGUCUUGUGGGCCAUGUUUGGUCAGGUUCCGUCCAUUUUCAUGGAAAGGCAGCAAAACAACUUUUGUAGCUUAUAAAAUUUACUACAACUUUGCUUUUGAUGUCAUUUACAUGCAAGGUCUCUAACACUGGUUUCAUCAAAGAUCUUUAAAAGAGGUUUUGGGGUCAACUAGGUCAACCUAGGGUUAACCAUGACUUAGAGGCAUUUUUGGAGGAAACCUCCAACACAAACUUUGUUCCAAAUGAUAUUCUAAACAUGAAUAGAGUAUUUUGGAAGACAAUGUGUACUUGUAUACAUUGGUCAUACAUUACUUACACUUAUAACAAGCCAUAUAAGCAUUUCAAUCACAUAGUGUACACCAAAAUGACAUGUGAUCAUGGUAUGAUGCUCAUGAGUGAUUAUGAUGAUGCUCAUGUUGAUGCAGUGCUCAUGGUUAACAUGCAAGCUAACACUAAGAGUGUUACAGCUUAGUUCCUCCCCUUAUAUAAAUCUGUCCCAUUUUAAUAAAAAUGACAAGAGUUAAUCCUCAGUCUUACCCAAGGUAUCCCAUUUUUCAGUAGAUGGUUCGCACCAGGCGUACCGCUCACAAGUCCACUGGAGGGUGGGUUCCUCACCAUCAGCUGGUACCUAGGGACACGUGUCGUAAGAGCAAGUUCCUGGGAGUGUUUGGUAUGCCUACUUUGUUGUGGAGGGUGCUUAGUGCGAUGGGGUAUCCUGAAGGAAGGGAACCUCGCUACUUUUGGAGCAGGGAGCAGCUUGGUGACGGGACUCUAGUUGGGGUCGAGGCAGUGAUUCCUACUAGUGGCAGUGACCCCACCUGGGGCGAUUGGGUGUACGAGUCCUGAGGCAGAACUCCUUUUUAGGGAGCAAGCAGGGUUGCUUUUGCAGUUCUGAGGGAUAUCGUGGAGAGGUUUCCACAAGAGCUAGCUCAUGCCUUCGCUGGGGUGUUUCCCCAGGGUGACCCCUACACCUCAGUGUGGGAUCAGUCCGAGGGGAGUGCCUUAGAGAGGAGUGCAGAUGAGGACCAACACAGUGAUAUUACAGCUAUGAGUGCUAUGUUUGCUAUGAUGAAGACCUAUGGGGGCCUAGAGCGCUGUUUGGGGCGGUUGACUAGGUCUCUACUAACAGUCUAGGAUGAGAAGCGCUAGUUGCAGAGUGCAUUCGACAGUGAGGUUGAGAGGUUGCAGGCAGAGCUUGCCCGUGUGACUCUAGAGAGGGACCAGGCAGUUCAGUAGAAUAACGUGCUGAGCUAAGACAUGCUAGUAGUGAGAUAGCAGAGAGAUAGGGUGACCACAGCCCAUAGGAACUGUGAGCGCAUGCUAGUUCAUGUGCUUAGACAAAGGAAUGAAGCCUGGCAUGAGGAAGACACCCUUAGGACCCGACAGCUAGAGCUUGAGCAGCAUAGCUAAUGCUGAGGAGUAUAAUGAGAACUUGCAUGAGAAGAUCCACCAGUUGCAUAACCAGCUCCAUCCACAUCACCUUUCUGGAGCAGCUGAGACAGAUUCUAAGGAAGAGAUGAAUGAGGAUCUAGAGAUAGAGGUGGCAGCAAGUGAAGACAAGGAAGGCGAGGGUUCCGGCAUGGAUAGCGACAAUAGCGAGUAGACGCUAGUGUUCUAGUGCUAGUCUUUCUUUUGUUGUUGUUGUUUCUGCAUGGCAUGUACUCGUAAUCUGGGUUGAGACUUGGUUGUGUGUGAGACUUGAUGUGGUUGAGUUGUGUUGACAUUUGAAAAGUCCAGUGUAUGUAUGUUGGUAAUUUUGGAUGUAUGCAAACCACUUUGGCGAUGUGUUAAAUAACUCUGUUAGUGAUGUUGUGUGUGGAUGAUGAAUUAUUGUGCCUUUGUUUAUUGUGUGGAUUUAUUCUCAUCAGUAAAUUUAGUAUGGCACGAUUUUACAUGUAUCUACUGAUUGGUGACAACUCCUAAUGGUUGCAUAUCAUUGACGCGUGCAGAUGGUGGAAACACAAGGUAGGGGUAACCACAACGAGGAUGCUAGGGAAGGUUCCUCGGGAGGCGCGGCUCGCAGAAUGAGAAUAGAGCACUACCACUGCCACCACCACCUCCCCCUCCGUACACUGCAAAGGUGUUCUUCACGUAGUUUUUGGGGAGUCAGCGAAACUUGGAACAGAUGCAGUAGAAUAUGGAGGCUGCCCUACGCAAUAUCGCUGACAACAUCCAUUGUGGGGCUAACCCAGGCGGCCAUGAAGUGAAUUAGUAGAGUUCCUCCAAGGACUUCAUGGACACAAAGCCACCGGUAUUUAAGGAGGCCAUAGAAUUGCUUGAGGCUGAUGAGUGGAUCAACACUAUGGAGAAGAAAUUCCAUCUCCUCUGAAUGACUGAAGAGCUAAAGUCGGAGUACGCGGCACAUCAACUGCAGGGGCCCACUGAGAUUUGGUGGUCUCAUCAUCGUAUCACUUAUCCUAAGGGAACCUUGAUCACCUGGAACCACUUCACGACUAUGUUUCGGGGAAACUAUAUUCCCCCAGGCUUGGUGGAAAUGAAGGUCAGGGAGUUCAUGAAGCUAUCUUAGGGAACCAAGACUGUGAAAGAGUAUUUGCAUGCUUUCAACAAUCUUGCUCAUUAUGCUCUAGAGUUUGUGAACACCGAAGCUAAGAAGAUCGCUUGUUUCCAGAGGGGCUUGAGCCCUAUGAUGCUGAAGACUAUGGACACAGGGACCCGAGCUACUUUCAAUAGCUACAUCAGUGGCUGUCUGAGGCCGGUUCGUCCAAGUUGUGUAAGAGGGCUUUUGAGGCCGGUUCGUCUCAGUCUAGGGCACCAAUGGCAGGGCGUCAGCAGUAUCGUCCUCCUACCCUGGGUGCUAGAUUCUAACCUCCACAGAGAUGGAAUACGGGGCAACCAACUCAACAAAAGCCAUACACGGUAGCAGUGACCCCACUAAGCCAAGGGCCAAUCCUGCCACAGCACCUGCUACUAACACCACGGCCAAGGGACCGUGUUACAACUACCACACGAUGGGGAACUUUGCCAAGGAAUGCUCCUACCCCAAGAAGUAGCAGACGACCUACCCAGCCCGUGUGCACCACACCUUGAUUGAGGAGAUUCCAAAAGGAGAACCGGUAAUAGCUGGUAUGUUUCCUGUCAACCAACAUCUCACAGUUGUUUUGUUUGAUUCCGGAUCAUCGCAUUCAUUCAUGAGUCAAGCAUUUGCACAAAAGCAUGAUCAAGCAGUUACAUAGUUGGAUUAUGGCUACCGCAUCAGCUCAGCAAGGGCAGAUGUUCUAACAAGUAAAGUGGUCCGAGGGGCAACCCUAGAUAUAAGUAACCGCAUGUUUCGAGUAGAUCUUGUGGUCAUGUCUAGCUUAGUCUUGGAUGUCAUCAUAGGCAUGAACUAGAUGAAGGAGUGGGAUGUAGUCAUAGAUGUAGGGAAGAGGAUGCUUUCUCUUAAGGAGCCUCAGGGCAAUGGUUCUUUCCAAGUACCUUUACCUCGUCGGUUCGACUUUGCUUGCAUCUCUUGUGCUACACAAGUGUUUCCUUUAACCCAAAUCCCUGUAGUUUGUGAGUUUCCUAAUGUUUUUCUGGAAGAGCUACCAGAGCUUCCCUCAGAUAGAGAAGUCGAGUUUGCCAUCGAGCUAAUACCCGGUACAGCGCCAAUCUCUAGGAGACCAUACGUGAUGUUGCCAAAUGAGUUUGCGGAAUUGAAAACCCAACUGAAGGAACUGCUAGACAUGGGUUUCAUUCGGCCAAGUUCGUCCAAAUGGGGGUGUCCGGCACUGUUCGUGAAGAAGAAGGAUCAAUCCUUGCGCAUGUGCAUAAACUAUCAUCCACUCAAUGCUAUGACCAUGACCUGUUUGAUCAGUUGUCAAAGGCAAAAGUGUUCUCCAAGAUAGAUCUAAGGUUAGGGUAUCACGAAAUCAAGAUUCGACCGCAAGACAUACCAAAGACUACCGUUUUUUCAGAUACUGGUUGUAUGAGUAUCUUGUCAUGUCCUUCGGAUAGACAAAUGCUCCGGCAUACUUUAUGUAUCUGAUGAAUUUUGUCUUUAUGCCCGAGUUGGACAAGUUUGUAGUGGUGUUCAUUGAUGACAUUUGAGUCUAUUCAGAGAAUGAGCAAGACCAUGCCAAACACUUGAGGGUCGUAUUGAGUCGACUACAGGAGCAUCAGUUGUAUGCGAUGCAAGUUUUGGCAGAAGAAGGUUUCGUUUCUAGGUCACAUUUUGUUGGAAGAAGGAGUAGAUCCAGCUAAAGUACAAGUGGUCAUGAACUAGAAGGACCCAACUUCUGUCUCAGAAGUUGAAAGCUUUCUUGGGUUGGCCUGUUAUUAUCGUUGUUUCAUCCCCGACUUCUCCAAGAUCGCUAAACCGAUGACUAGCCUACUGCAAAAAUAUCAUGAGUUCACCUUGACAAAGGAGUGUGAAGUUGCCUUCCGCACCUUGCAAAAGCUACUGACCACUGCUCCUGUUUUGGCACAACCGUAUAUCGAGAAGCCUUUUGAUGUGUUUUGUGACGCAUCAAAAUGUGGUUUGGUGUGUGAACUUAUGCAAGAGGGCAGAGUCAUUGAUUAUGCUUCCCGUUAGUUAAGAAAACAUGAAGUCAAUUAUCCUACACAUGAUCUUGAGCUUGCUAUUGUUGUGCAUGCUCUGAAGAUCUAGAGGCAUGACUUGCUUGGAAAUAAGAGUCACAUCUACACUAUCACAAGAGUCUUAAGUACAUAUUCACUCAGUCAGAGCUAAAAUAUGAGGCAACGAUGAUGGUCAGAGCUAAUCAAGGACUACGAUCUUGAGGUACACUACCACCCGGGCAAGGCUAACAUCAUGGUGGAUGCCUUGAGUCGCAAACCACACUAUCAUACAGUUUAGCCUUUGUUUGAGGAUGGGUUCAACCUGAUGCAUACUGAAAUUGCAUGGUAUUCCCAAGACUAUUGUAUUAGAUAGAGGUUCGCAAUUCACCGCUGAUUAUUGGGAACGAAUGCAUAAGAGUUUAGGCACCAGCCUAGUGAGGAGUACAUCAUAUCAUCCUCAAACCUCAAGCCAAACAAAGAGACUUAAUCAGAUCCUAGAGGACAUGUUAAGAGCUUGUGUGUUGUCUUCAAAGGGUUCUUGGGGGGCCUGGUUACCUUUAGCUGAAUUCUCUUACAAUAAUAGCUGUCAAUAGAGUAUCAAGAUGGCUCCAUUCGAAGCCCUGUAUGGUCAAAAGUGCAGAACUCCAUUAAAUUGGGUUGAACCCGAUGAAAGGAGGUACUACGACAUCGACGCUGAGAAAAAGGUGCAAAUCAUCCAGCAGCACAUGAAAGCCACAAAAUCAUGUCAGAAAAGUUAUGUUGAUAAGAAGAGAAGACCACUUGAGUUCGUCGUAGGUGAUUAUGUAUACCUCAAAGUUACACCAAUGAAUAAAGUCCAGCGUUUUAGGGUUCGAAGUAAGCUUGCACCGUGAUAUGUGGGACCUUAUCAGAUAAUAGAACAGAAAGGCACUAUGGCCUACAAGAUACAGUUGCCUGAAGAGAUAAGUUCUAUAUUUCCAGUAUUCCACGUGUCCCUGUUAAGAAAGUGUCUGAAAGUAUGUGAGCAAAGAAUUGAACCCCGAGGUAUCAAGAUAAAGGCAGACCUAGAGUACAAAGAGCAACCAUGGAUUAUAAUAGAUACUGUUGAUAUUUGGGAACACAAUAAGGAAUUGAUCCGCAAGCGCACGGAUAUCGGUGAGCACUUCACCCGGGAAAUUAUCCAGAGUAUCGUAUUUAUUUUUUUACCACUAGGAGAAAGAGUGCAUCUGACUAACCGGUCUAUUACUACUAACCUUUUAGGCACAAAGAAUGUCUCUCGAUGUGAGUGAUAAAUAGAGAAGACUGCAACCCUAGUCUCCUUCUAACCUUGGUAAGGAUGAUCUACUGUUCUAAUGGGAGGCUAACGGAAUCUAGACACCACAAAGGAUGUUCAACCCGCACCUAUAAACCCUAUCCUUCCUGCUAACGAGAUGUGAUCUGCAAAGGUAACUCGGAAUUGUCACGUUCCUCACUACU
Molecule: long non-coding RNA, 20960 nt
Filed under: Sorghum bicolor (sorghum)
Lineage: Eukaryota; Viridiplantae; Streptophyta; Magnoliopsida; Poales; Poaceae
Description: long non-coding RNA (SBIC_LNC004998)
Source: RNAcentral